Molecule: ribosomal RNA, 464 nt
Filed under: uncultured bacterium
Lineage: Bacteria
Description: partial 16S ribosomal RNA
Rfam family: Bacterial small subunit ribosomal RNA
Source: RNAcentral
GACGAACGCUGGCGGCGUGCUUAACACAUGCAAGUCGAACGGAAAGGCCCCUUUGGGGGUACUCGAGUGGCGAACGGGUGAGUAACACGUGAGUAACCUGCCCUUGACUUCGGGAUAACUUCAGGAAACUGGGGCUAAUACCGGAUAGGAAUCCUUGCUGCAUGGUGGGGGUUGGAAAGCUUCGGCGGUCUUGGAUGGACUCGCGGCUUAUCAGCUUGUUGGUGGGGUAGUGGCUUACCAAGGCUUUGACGGGUAGCCGGCCUGAGAGGGCGACCGGCCACAUUGGGACUGAGAUACGGCCCAGACUCCUACGGGAGGCAGCAGUGGGGAAUAUUGCACAAUGGGCGGAAGCCUGAUGCAGCAACGCCGCGUGCGGGAUGACGGCCUUCGGGUUGUAAACCGCUUUCAGCAGGGGCGAAGCUUGUGGUGACGGUACCUGCAGAAGAAGCACCGGCUAACUACGU